AAUAGAUACCCGGUAGUCCACGCCGUAAACGGUGGACACUAGGUGUGGGCGACAUUCCACGUCGUCCGUGCCGCAGCUAACGCAUUAAGUGCCCCGCCUGGGGAGUACGGCCGCAAGGCUAAAACUCAAAGGAAUUGACAGGGGCCCGCACAAGCGGCGGAGCAUGUGGCUUAAUUCGACGCAACGCGAAGAACCUUACCAAGGCUUGACAUACACCGGAAACGUCCAGAGAUGGGCGCCCCCUUGUGGUCGGUGUACAGGUGGUGCAUGGCUGUCGUCAGCUCGUGUCGUGAGAUGUUGGGUUAAGUCCCGCAACGAGCGCAACCCUUGUCCCGUGUUGCCAGCAGGCCCUUGUGGUGCUGGGGACUCACGGGAGACCGCCGGGGUCAACUCGGAGGAAGGUGGGGACGACGUCAAGUCAUCAUGCCCCUUAUGUCUUGGGCUGCACACGUGCUACAAUGGCCGGUACAAUGAGCUGCGAUACCGCGAGGUGGAGCGAAUCUCAAAAAGCCGGUCUCAGUUCGGAUUGGGGU
Molecule: ribosomal RNA, 533 nt
Filed under: uncultured bacterium
Lineage: Bacteria
Description: bacterial SSU rRNA
Rfam family: Bacterial small subunit ribosomal RNA
Source: RNAcentral